Molecule: long non-coding RNA, 234 nt
Organism: Photinus pyralis (common eastern firefly)
Lineage: Eukaryota; Metazoa; Arthropoda; Insecta; Coleoptera; Lampyridae
Exons: 2
Source: RefSeq, a predicted model, not a curated record
UUUAAACCGUUCGAGUGGGUGACUCACACUGUCACAUGUCGAGCGCUUUCAGUCGAUCAGUUUUUUUUCAGUGACUUGAGUUGUGCGAUCCUUUUAAACUGAUUUUUGGUGAUCUUACUCGUAUAUUUUCCUAAAGUAUAGGCAAUAAAUAAAACCGUCACGCUUUUCGAAGGAAGUGACUAGUCCAAAAAAUCUUUUGUCGAUCUGGUCUUGAAGCAGUGCUACACUGUAUAA